RNAcentral lists this long non-coding RNA (1064 nucleotides) under Ursus maritimus (polar bear). RNAcentral's name for it is "lncRNA (ENSUMAG00000013538.1)". Lineage: Eukaryota; Metazoa; Chordata; Mammalia; Carnivora; Ursidae. The record is from RNAcentral.
UGGAAAUUCAACAACCUCAUAUUUAAAGUUUAUUAGAUACUUUCACAGGAUGUUGAAACGUGUUUCAAAACAUCCUUACAUACAAUUUACAAAGGAUUCUCUUUCUUAACAUCCUCCACCUUUCAGUGCCUCGCCUUAUGCAAUUUCUGACUACGAGGAGACAAGGACCUCGGCACCAGGGCCUGGAGCACCCUUUGUUCCAGAGGGGCCAGGCUCAUAAGGAGUUGCAGGUGUUUCGGAUUGUUUUGCAACUUUAGAUGCCUUUUGACCACGUUUCCUGAGAACAGAUAACUAGCUUUCCUUUCAUCCUGUUAUGCCUGGAGCAAGGUUUGGCGAGGAGCCCGCAGUUGGGAAAGCGCUCCGAAGGGAGAGCGGGUCCCGAGGCCGGUGGGGGAGCCUGUGGGGGCCCUUGCGGCCUCCCAAAUCCAGACUCCUGCACAGCUCGAUCCGCCUCCCAGGCGGAAAACCAAAUUCUUUUGAGGCUUCCUCAGUAAAACUGGCACCAUCUCCUAUCACACACAGGCUCGUUGGCUUAUCCUCGCGGGGCACAAAUGCAAGGAAGGUGCGCUGGGCGAGCGGGAGGGAGGGGAGCCAGAACGAGGCUCGAGGAGGGGAACCUGGAUGGAGCCCAGGAUCUGCCCCGGUGCCGGGGGGAGUCCGCGGCUUCGCCGGAUCGCGCCCACACGGCGCUUAUCAAAACGAACAGAGCAAACAGCGCGUGGGCAAGAGCGGGGAGCCGGGCGCGGGGAGGGCACACACGGAGCGGGCGGGAAAGGCGACCCGCCGCAGUCGAGCUGAGGAUCCCGGCAAAGUUGGAACCCGGAGUCUUGGGUCCCUCCCCUCAAAAGCAGAGUCAGAGAAACGUGACGUUAGGGAGGGAGAGUUCCUGACAAAAACGGGGCUGUUUUUAUCUGACUCAGACGACCCAGCCAAAUCUGGACAACAGAAAGUGUUUCGAAUCGCGGCCGGAGGGAAUGAACCCACGAGGCUUUGUGGGGGAGCGGGUGGCCGGUGCGCAAGGGGCGAGGUCCCUCUCGGACCCCGGCAGAGGCUGUGGGGCCCGG